RNAcentral lists this ribosomal RNA (264 nucleotides) under Triticum aestivum (bread wheat). Its description in RNAcentral is "partial small subunit ribosomal RNA". Lineage: Eukaryota; Viridiplantae; Streptophyta; Magnoliopsida; Poales; Poaceae. The record is from RNAcentral.
AUGGCUUCUUCUGGUUCCAUGACGAGGCCCCCGUGUGCUAACCACGAGGACAUGUCGGACAAGUGGACAGACACCGAGUUGGAUAAGGUGAAGGACAAAGAUAUGAGAACUCCAUCAUGUUGGUGUGGAGAUGUUUGCAAAGUUAAGGUAUCCACAGACCGCAAGAAAUCAUGCACGGAAGGAAGAAUAUUUUUUUGUCCCAACUAUGCCUAUGAUCGUCCUCGUCCAGCUCACGCCUAUGAUGUACCGCUGGUAAGUUGGUGA